AUGAACGCUAGCGGCAGGCUUAACACAUGCAAGUCGAGGGGCAGCGCGUUGUAGCAAUACAAUGGCGGCGACCGGCGCAAGGGUGCGUAACGCGUGAGCAAUCUGCCCGUAUCAGGGGGAUAAGCGAUGGAAACGUCGUCUAAUACCGCAUAACAACGUUGGAGGCAUCUCCGAUGUUUGAAAGCUUCGGUGGAUACGGAUGAGCUCGCGAGACAUUAGUUAGUUGGCGGGGUAACGGCCCACCAAGACCGCGAUGUCUAGGGGAACUGAGAGGUUGGUCCCCCCACACUGGAACUGAGACACGGUCCAGACUCCUACGGGAGGCAGCAGUGAGGAAUAUUGGACAAUGGCCGGAAGGCUGAUCCAGCCAUGCCGCGUGAAGGAUAAGGUCCUAUGGGUUGUAAACCGCUUUUUUGUGGGAGCAAUAAGUUGCACGUGUGCAAUGAUGAGAGUACCAUGAGAAUAAGCAUCGGCUAACUCCGUGCC
This 486-nucleotide ribosomal RNA is filed under the name uncultured bacterium. RNAcentral's name for it is "bacterial SSU rRNA". It matches the Rfam family "Bacterial small subunit ribosomal RNA", at positions 29 to 509 of the family's 1533-position model. The record is from RNAcentral.